Molecule: long non-coding RNA, 589 nt
Organism: Mytilus californianus (California mussel)
Lineage: Eukaryota; Metazoa; Mollusca; Bivalvia; Mytilida; Mytilidae
Exons: 4
Source: RefSeq, a predicted model, not a curated record
CCAUUUUUGACUUUACAUAGUUAUAUAUCUAAUCAUACAAACAUUCAUCUUUAAACCCAUCGAUUCAGGUACAUAUCUACAAUGUGGAACAGAAUCCUUUUUCCGACGAGGGUUACCGUUUGAUAAACACUUAAUGAAAAGAAAGCAUAAGCCAGAUGUGACCAAAGAUAGUAGACAGUAAAACAGACAACUCUAAAAAACCGUACAAACGAAGACCAACAACAACGAAUAACACUGAUAAUGUUCUAGGUACAUGGACAACACAUGUGCAAUAAGAUAUACAGAUGUAACAUAUAACGUCUCAGAGUGAUAGAAACGUCGGCAAAUAAAUUACAUAAAGGAUAAUACAAUUUGCUCAAAAGAUUCCGACAAUAUAUAUCACUGCCACUGCAUCUAAUAUUCGGGAAACAGGAAGUAUUAACAAAGGAGGAAGUCAAACUUUAACUGUAAUCACAAAUGUUUUAGUGGUCCAUUACGUUACAUUCAAUGCAGAUGGUUUUGUAAGGUAUCGUUUAACAAAAUGCCGUGUUUGAUUAAAAUUACAAACAUAAACAUAACUCUGAAACGGGAAAUGCCAAUCAUUUGAAAA